This 4917-nucleotide long non-coding RNA is filed under the name Equus caballus (horse). RNAcentral describes it as "lncRNA (ENSECAG00000053505.1)". The record is from RNAcentral. Lineage: Eukaryota; Metazoa; Chordata; Mammalia; Perissodactyla; Equidae.
CGGGUGGGGGCCGGCGGGGGCGGCGCAGGGUCUCCCCUGCGAGGCCAGGCGGAGGUUCGCGGCUCCAGGUGCCCGCUCUGCUCCUCCCAGAAGCUGGACUCACGGGAAACGCAGGCCCGGCCGCCCCGCGAGCCCUCUAUUUACAGCCAGGAAUGUCAACCAUGUGAGAGAAGAAACUGUCUGUUCGCUGUGGAUCCCUGCUCUGAGAACGGGGUCAGCCACAGGAUGGGUGAACUGAGACCCAGGAGGACAAAGUGCCUGCUCCACACCCCAAGCCAGGGGCCCUGCUCUGUGCGGGGGGAUCCGCCUGCGUGGUUGUGGGGGCCACUUGUGGCUGUCGGGCGUCAUCUAUCCCUGACACAUGGCCAAGGAAGAUAGGGACAAAAGGCACAAAUAUGCCAAAAGACAAAAGACUAAAAGCCACAUGGUUCAGAGGAGACAGAGCUGGAGGCUGGGUGCCCAGUGGCCUGGAAAGCUCCCAGAGGACGAGGGGUCUGAAUGGCUUGAGGAGCCGGUGGACCCAAACUUUGAGGGUCAACUCAUGGGAGGGCCUUAGGCAGGAACAGGCUGAGGCAAAUUCCUCAAGAAGGUAAUUCAGGGACAGAAGCAUCCGCUGGCUGCCUGUCACAGCCAGGGGCCUUUCACACAGAAAUCAGAUCAUGUGUUCGCUGCCUGGAACCUUAGCUGCUUCUGUACUGAGGCAGCUCAACAGACGACCACAAACCGGGUGGCUUCAGACAGGGGUGAUUUGUCUCUCAAGUUCAGGAAACCGGAAGUCUGAAAUGGGGGGCAGGGUCGGUCCCUCCUGGGGCUCCGAGGCAGCAUCUGUUCCAGGCCCCCUCCAGCUUCUGGUGGGGACCGGCCUCCUUGGGGUCCCUUGGCUUGUAGAUGCAUCGCUCCCAUCUCUGCCUCACGGUCACACGACCUUCUCCAUUUGUGUCUUCACACGGCUUCAGACAAGGACGCUAGUCAUUGUAUUUAGCGUCACCCGAACCCAGUACGACCUCAUCUUAACUAAUCACAUCUGCAAAGACCCUCUUUCCAAAGAAAGUCACAUUCUGAGGUUCCGGGAGGGGCAACGCUAUUCAACCCAGUGCAGCUUCCCAUUCUCCCGGAUUGAAAGCUGAGCCCUCUCCAGGCCUGUGGGGCAGAGCAGCCUGGUGCUUGAGACCAGGAGGCUGGAGCUGGGCUGCCCGGGUGAGCACCCAGCUCGGUCGUCACCCCCGUGUGCCUGAUGGUGGGUCAUGGCUCCCUGUUCUUUAUUCCCCUUUUGCCACGUGAUGUCAUGGGGCCUCCCAACGAUGUGGGAUGGCCAGGUGACCUGCUCUGCUCAAUGGGGCACUCGUGGGCUUGACCACGCAGAGGCCCUAAGUGCACUUGUGGGAUCUGGCUUGGUUCUUGGCUUCUGGAAGGUCCUGCCCCGAGGAGCUGCCCUCCUAGGGCUGAUGAGAGCUUCGCAGGGCUGACCUGAGGCCGAUCCCCAGCCUGCGGCCAAGCCCGGCAGCCCGGUGACCCUCCACAGAGUCACCCCAUCGAGCCCAACUCAGAUCAGCUGAACCCAGACAACCUGCCCUCCGCGAGCUGGGAAGUAAGUCACUGCGUUUGGAUGGUUCGUUACAGAUCAACACUGGGACAGUGGCCGAGGAAAACAGAAAAACGCCGCUGGGCACUCAACCCCCCUCUCGGUUUCCCCAUCUGUAAAAUGGGGCUGAUAACAGUACUGGCCUCCUCAGUUGUUGUGAGGGUGAAGUGAGAUAAUAAAGGUAAAGUGGCACGUGGUGAGUAUCAGUGAGCUUCAGCGCCAUGCUAUCACCAGGCCCAGCACGACCCUGUCAUCUCACGUCCCCUCCAUCACUUGGUUGAAGGCAAAGGCCUCCUCCUCCUGUUUCUGGAAAACUCUCUGCCUUUGUGAUCUUCCCGAUCUCCACGAGGGUGGGUCUCCUUGUCCUCUGAGCUCAGCUCCGAUGGCCCAUUCGCAGAAGCGCCCUCCCGAGAGCUCGGCUGCCCCUGAGGCCGCUGCCCGUCUGCUUGUUAGCGUCUGUCCACAGCCAGAGGGCAGGAGCUCCUUCUCUUUUGUCCUCUAGAGCGUCCCAGGACUUGAACCAGCCGACACAUACUAGGUGCUCAAUUAAUACUGUGAACCUAUUCUCAAGGGCAGACCAAGCCUUCUCUUUACGUGUGUGUCCCCAGCAAAUCGCAUCCAACACCUUCCUUGCUCCAUGUCUCUUCCAGGGGCGGAGGCAAGAGCAGAUGAGGUCCCUGCCCCACGGAGCUCCCACGUUGGCAGGAGAGAGACAGGAAUGUGAAAUCGAGCGGGGCCGCACGUGGCCGGUGGUGAAGGUUGCCAAGAGGGAAGCACAGCAGGAUAGGGAGGCGGGGACAGGAGUGGUGCGGGCUCAACAGGCUGUUCAGGGAGGGACUCACUGAGACAGUGACAUGGGGCAAGGGGCCUGAAGAAAUGAGCAGGGGGCACGAGUGUUCUGCAGGGAGCGUUCAAGGCAGAGGGCACAGCCGGUACAAGGCCCGUGUGUGCGAGGAGCAGUGGGGGCCAGAGUGGCUGCAGGGAGGUGGACGAGGGAACUGUGGGGGCCGAGGUCAGAGAGGUGACAGGACGGGAUCCGUGUACGACCUUGAGGGCCAGUGAAAGGACGCUGGCAUUCCCUGUGCGUGUCAGAGCCCUUGGAUGGGUCUGAGCACAGGAGUGACGUGCUCUGAGUUCAUUUUAGGUGACCCCUCAGGCUGUGUGCGGGGCCAGACUGUGGGGCAGAGGGCAGAAGCAGCCGGACCUGCGAGGAGGCCGCCAGGGCGGGGGCAGGAAGGUGCAGGCCGGGGUCACCAGUGCCAGCUCUGGGAUUUGCACCUGAGGGUCGGCUGACGGGAUCUGCUGAUGGAUGGGGCGGAGGCGGUAAGAGGGAAACAGACCGUCAAGGAGGACGCCAAGGGCUUUGGGCUGAGCGGCUGGAAGGACUGCCGUGCUCCUGAGUCAGGUGUGGGAGGUCUCAGGAGGAGCAGGCGGGAGCAGGGAGCGGCUGAGAGGCAGAGAGACCUUCCAGAAAGGUCUGGGGUCCUGAGCCAACUUGGCCCCCCCUCAAGAGCUUCCUUCAUCUGAGCUGCAAGGACGACCACCUGUGUUGUCCCCGAGCGGGUGACGCCAGCCAGGCUCUGCACUUGUGUCUCCCUCCGAGAGACAAAGGUCAAUGUCACAGCAGUCUGCUCUGAUGCUGGCUUCAAGCCAAGGCCCUUAAUAUUCAAUGAGAAAUCUGCAUUGAUGAAAUUUUCAUUAAAGAAACAUUAUCCGUUUCCCUUGCCUUGUUAUUCUGUGGCUGUGGGUAUCAGGCUAAUUUGGGUUUGAUUACCCCGAUGAUCUGAAGAUUGGAGCAUUAUUAAAAAUUUAGAUGAGCAAUGAUAGGUCUGCGCCUCCCUCUCCUCUCUCAGCCGGAGCACAGGGGCUCUGCUAACGAUCACAACGAAUUCGGGGCAGACAUGGCAAUUAGAGGAGUAUCGAUAGUUCGAGGGGGCUUCAACCCCUCUGCCUCCAACGGAAAUCGGCUGGGUGGCUUCCAGGGCACUCAGAUUUAAUUGAUAAAAUGCAGCAAAAGAGAAUUCCAGUCCUAGACCCAGUUGCAGUCUAAUGAGCUGUAUGCGUGCCUGAGCGGGUCCCCUCCCCUUCCUGUGCCUGAAACGUGCCCCACGUGUGGAGGAAGGAGCCUGCACCAGGCAGAUGCCUAGAAACGGUGCCCGUGGGCUGCGGUCAGCUGCAGAGGGAAUCUGUUGGCCAGCUGUUUUUUUAUCUGUUUAAUGAGCACCUUCCUAGACUUAUGAUCUCGGGCUCUGUGUUUCCUGUCUAUUAAUUGUCUGAUUCUCCCAACCACCAUGAGAGACAGAUGCUCUCAUCAUUCCCACCUCACGGAUGGGGAAACUCUGACCAAGAGGGCUGACGUGGUUUACUCUGGGUCACCUGCCAGGCAGGAGCAAGGGUACGAGUUGAACUCAGUGGUUUGUCCUCCAAACCCUGCUUUAACACCUGUGCUACAAUUCCUCAGUGUUUCAGAAGUAAUUAGGUAUCAAAUUUAAAACAUUUGUAGUUUUCUAUAGAAACAGAACUUACAUAUUAAGAAGUUGGCAGCUCUGGUUCUGUAAAGGUGUCUGUCUCUGGAAUGUCACUAUUUUGUACUUCAUGAGACACUAAUUACUAACAUCAUUUACCAUUUGUCUGUCAGGAGAGAUGGCAGCUUUCAAAACGGGAGCCCAAUCUUUCAACAAGCCCAAGAGAAAAACUGGCAAUGUGCAGGGGGGAAAACCUAUUUGAAAGCAUCAGAGAGCGACUUAGGCUGCCAGGACCUGAGGGACCAGCAUCUCAUACCGAGGGACAUGCACUGAGGGGAGCCCUACAUCCUCCACCUCCUUCCUCUUUGAGGAUUUCCCAAUUCGUAAGUCGGGGGUGAGUGCCGACAGAAACCGAGAACCUUUCAGCAAGCUCAUGAAUCUGGGGACAAAACACUUGAAGUUGGAGGCCCCAAGGCAGCCAGGGUUUGAGGGCCCGAGAUCUCAGAGAAGAUAGGACCCCCUAGAAGAGGCUCUGAUUUGCUGCAGUGUUUUCGCUUUUGAAGCAUUUGCUGAUUCCUAAGCUGUACAGACAUGAGGCUCAGAGGACAAGCAGAAAUUGAGCAGGUGAGAGGCCGAGAAAGUGAGCAACGUCUGCACCAAUAUCAUGACGCCCUAACAGCCGAACUUGGAGUUCGGUUGUCACCCAACAGGUGGAGCCACGGAAAAUGAACGCUGGUUUCCAUUGAGUCCUCCAACAGACUUGUUCUAGGAAGUAAGGACAAACCAAAUAAACCAGAUCUCAUAAAAAUGGAAAAUCAGUCUUGAAUCAUUACAAUCAUGGUAACCUGUCCUUACUCUAGUGGCUGUCAG